Molecule: ribosomal RNA, 485 nt
Filed under: uncultured bacterium
Lineage: Bacteria
Description: partial 16S ribosomal RNA
Rfam family: Bacterial small subunit ribosomal RNA
Source: RNAcentral
AUUGAACGCUGGCGGCAUGCCUUACACAUGCAAGUCGGACGGCAGCACGGGUGCUUGCACCUGGUGGCGAGUGGCGAACGGGUGAGUAAUACAUCGGAACAUGUCCUGUAGUGGGGGAUAGCCCGGCGAAAGCCGGAUUAAUACCGCAUACGAUCUACGGAUGAAAGCGGGGGACCUUCGGGCCUCGCGCUAUAGGGUUGGCCGAUGGCUGAUUAGCUAGUUGGUGGGGUAAAGGCCUACCAAGGCGACGAUCAGUAGCUGGUCUGAGAGGACGACCAGCCACACUGGGACUGAGACACGGCCCAGACUCCUACGGGAGGCAGCAGUGGGGAAUUUUGGACAAUGGGCGAAAGCCUGAUCCAGCAAUGCCGCGUGUGUGAAGAAGGCCUUCGGGUUGUAAAGCACUUUUGUCCGGAAAGAAAUCCUUGGCCCUAAUACGGUCGGGGGAUGACGGUACCGGAAGAAUAAGCACCGGCUAACUACGU